This is a small nuclear RNA of Dermacentor silvarum, 182 nucleotides long. RefSeq annotates it as U2 spliceosomal RNA. The record is from RefSeq and is a predicted model, not a curated record. The transcript has a single exon. NCBI's taxonomy places the organism in Eukaryota, Metazoa, Arthropoda, Arachnida, Ixodida, Ixodidae.
AUGGCCGACGCGGGUCAAAGAGUAUAGUAUCUGUUCGUAUCAGCUUAGUAUCUGAUACGGGUUGUAUUUAGAACCAAGAUAUUAAACUUAUUUCGGCAAGUUGGCGGAGUGCGUGAAGCCUGCUUCACCUCCGCCGCGGGUCGGCCCGGUAUUGCGCUAUAUUCGGGUACGGUUUUUGGUCU